ACAUUGAUGGUUCAGUGGUAACAUUCUCAUCUUCCAUGUGGGAGACCUGGGUUCGAUUUCCAGCCAGUGUA
Molecule: transfer RNA, 71 nt
Filed under: Loxodonta africana (African savanna elephant)
Lineage: Eukaryota; Metazoa; Chordata; Mammalia; Proboscidea; Elephantidae
Rfam family: tRNA
About the family: Transfer RNA (tRNA) molecules are approximately 80 nucleotides in length. Their secondary structure includes four short double-helical elements and three loops (D, anti-codon, and T loops). Further hydrogen bonds mediate the characteristic L-shaped molecular structure. tRNAs have two regions of fundamental functional importance: the anti-codon, which is responsible for specific mRNA codon recognition, and the 3' end, to which the tRNAs corresponding amino acid is attached (by aminoacyl-tRNA synthetases). tRNAs cope with the degeneracy of the genetic code in two manners: having more than one tRNA (with a specific anti-codon) for a particular amino acid; and 'wobble' base-pairing, i.e. permitting non-standard base-pairing at the 3rd anti-codon position.
Source: Rfam by way of RNAcentral